GGAAGCACUAGCGGCUGCGGGAGCGCCGGGGGCUGCGGGAGCGUCAGCUGCUGUGGGAACGCCAAUUUUAGUGGAAGUGUCACCGGCGGUGGGAGCGGCGGCAGCUGCUGGGGCGGGAGCAGCGUGGAGCGCAGCGAGCGCCGGAAGCGGAGGAGUACCGACUCUUCCAGCGUCUCGGGCUCCUUGCAGCAGGAAACUAAAUAUAUUUUGCCAGCUUUGGAAAAAGAAUUAUUCUUGGCAGAGCACAGUGACCUUGAAGAAGGUGGACUGGACCUGACUGUGUCAUUGAAACCAGUUAGUUUCUAUAUAUCAGACAAAAAAGAAAUGCUUCAGCAGUGCUUCUGUAUUAUAGGAGAGAAAAAGUUACAGAAGAUGCUUCCUGAUGUGUUAAAGGUGACAAUGGAAUGGACUCUGAUAUGGAAGAGGAAGCAGAUGAUGGUUCUAAGAUGGGAUCUGAUUUAGUCAGUCAGCAAGACAUCUGUAUAGAUUCUGCUUCAUCCAUGAGAGAGAAUAAGCAACC
Molecule: small RNA, 520 nt
Filed under: Pan troglodytes (chimpanzee)
Lineage: Eukaryota; Metazoa; Chordata; Mammalia; Primates; Hominidae
Description: processed transcript
Source: RNAcentral